Molecule: ribosomal RNA, 511 nt
Filed under: uncultured bacterium
Lineage: Bacteria
Description: bacterial SSU rRNA
Rfam family: Bacterial small subunit ribosomal RNA
Source: RNAcentral
CGGCGUGCCUAAUACAUGCAAGUCGAACGGUCUUUCUAUGGAAGCUUGCUUCCACUGAGAAGAUAGUGGCGAACGGGUGGAGUAACACGUGGGGUAACCUGGCCCCAGUAAGAGGGGGGAUAACAUCCGGAAACGGGUGCUAAUACCGCAUAGUUUUCUUGAUCGCAUGAUCGGGAAAGGAAAGACGGCCUUUGUGCUGUCGCUUAUGGAUGGACCCGCGGCGUAUUAGUUAGUUGGUGAGGUAACGGCUCACCAAGACGAUGAUACGUAGCCGACCUGAGAGGGUGAUCGGCCACAUUGGGACUGAGACACGGCCCAAACUCCUACGGGAGGCAGCAGUAGGGAAUCUUCCGCAAUGGACGAAAGUCUGACGGAGCAACGCCGCGUGAGUGAAAGAAGGUUUUCGGAUCGUAAAACUCUGUUGUCAGAGAAGAACAAGUUGGAGAGUAACUGCUCCAGCCUUGACGGUAUCUGACCAGAAAGCCACGGCUAACUACGUGCCAGCCGCCGC